UACGAAGGGGGGCUAGCGUUGCUCGGAUUUACUGGGCGUAAAGGGCGCGUAGGCGGACAGUUAAGUUGGGGGUGAAAGCCCGGGCUCAACCUCGGAAUUGCCUUCAAUACUGGCUGUCUUGAGUGUGAGAGAGGUGUGUGGAACUCCGAGUGUAGAGGUGAAAUUCGUAGAUAUUCGGAAGAACACCAGUGGCGAAGGCGACACACUGGCUCACUACUGACGCUGAGGCACGAAAGCGUGGGGAGCAAACAGG
This 253-nucleotide ribosomal RNA is filed under the name uncultured bacterium. Its description in RNAcentral is "partial 16S ribosomal RNA". It matches the Rfam family "Bacterial small subunit ribosomal RNA", at positions 524 to 776 of the family's 1533-position model. The record is from RNAcentral.